This is an RNA transcript of Orcinus orca (killer whale), 9418 nucleotides long. RefSeq lists it as uncharacterized. NCBI's taxonomy places the organism in Eukaryota, Metazoa, Chordata, Mammalia, Artiodactyla, Delphinidae. The record is from RefSeq and is a predicted model, not a curated record. The transcript is spliced from 2 exons.
CGCUGGCAGGCAGCUGGUCAGGAGAGGAGAAGGGGGCGGUGAGGAGAAGUGCAGAGAGGCAGAGACCCCCGUGGGAGGGAGCGCUGACUCAGGGAGCCCCACCUCCCGGGGCCUGAGGCCUUAGUGACGUGACACGAGGCAGCCUGGUUCCUGCCUCAGCUGUUCUGGCUGGAUGUGCUUUGAGGAAGGGCGUCCCAGACCUCUCUCCAGGGGCAGGCACGGCGCCCCAGGCCUGCAGGGGCAGCGAGGGCUCCAUCCCGGGGAGGCGCCGCUCUCCCCGCUGUAUGCUCAUUUCCAGACUGGUAACCAAGUCGUCGUCAGGUAUGUUUCACAGACAAGCAGUGUGAGGCCGGCCUGGGCCAGCCCUGCCUGGCGGGUGUGGGGGGCAGAGGGAGCGAGGGGUCCAGAGGGCGAGCCCGGGCCGGGCAGAAGUCCUCCCCCUUCAGGCUGGAGGUGAGAGCAGGACCCGGGGCUGCACCGGGAGGGCCCCGAGGGGGCAAUUCCCAGACCUGCUCUUGAGAUGAUGCCAGCCAUAGUUGCUGGAAAGCCAUUGGCAUCUGGUUCAAAGCCUUACUAAAGCCAGCGCUCCGAGCAGGGAGGCCAGGUGAGAAUCUGCCCUGGGCGUGCUGGACAUGCUGAUCUCGACUCACGCCCGGAGAGAGGACCUGGGGCCAUACUUAUGUGGCCUGAAACCGGCGGCUACUUAAAGUCCCCAUUAGAGGAAGACUAUCUAAAUCAUGGAGUGAUUAAUAUGAAUGCGGUGCGGUGAUUACUAGACGUAUGAGUUAACACCAAAAAAAUCCUUGCAAUGUGACCUUGAGCACAAAACACAGGCAACAAAAUCGUCCCCAACCCUAAACAGCGAAAAGGCUGGAAGGAAAUAUAUGACUGUGUCAACAGUGAGUUUAUGAGUUUCUUUCCUUUUUGUCUUAAAUUUUUUUAUUUGGUAUUUUACAUAUUUUUGAUUAGGACAAAAGUUAUUAAAAAAAAAAGAGAAGGUGAAAUGCUAUUAUCACGUUGGUAUGAGGUGGGUAUCAGUGAAUUCAUCCAUCCCGUCCCACUAACAUCCUGAUCUUGCUGAGGCUGGACCUUUGCUGGGCUAAGGUCCAAGGAGGGGGUGACACUGGGUCCUGACCCGUGGGGACCCAUGUGUAUUGGGGGCAGCUGACCAAGGACCAGGCCUUCAGCUGUGGUGAAGGGGAGCAGGUGGGGCACCUGGGGUGUAGAGAAAGCUUCUCAGAAGAAGAGGUUCCAGGAAGACCUGCCCUGGGGGCAGACCCAAGGGGCGCCAGUUGGGAGAAGGGUUUAGUUAGCUUCCUGCAAUGGAGGCCCUGGCUCGGGGUUCCGUGCACGCUCUUCUGGUUCCCUGAAGGAUGCUGGUGAGCUGCUGCCCACUGUGUCCUCAAUUUUCUCCUGAGGCAGGCCAGCGGGGUCGAGUCCCCAGUGGGCAAUUUGCCAGCAAGGUCAAGACAAAGCUUUUAUGAGCCUUAUUGUCUCAUAUGUGUCGUCAGAGUAGGCUCAGUGAGCUGCCCUCCCGCAGAUACUCCCGGGAGGUACGUGUCCUGCCAGGCUGGUGGGCAGCAGGUCAGAGUGGUCCGGUGGGCCGUCCUCGCGGUCCCGGGGCCUGGUGCUGGCAGAGUCCUUGGAAACAUGGGAUGAGGGGGGAGGAAGGGGCUGCGGGAUCAGGGCAGGCCUGGGGUCAGAGCUCGGCAGUGACCCUGUGUCCGGUGUCUGGGGGCAGGGCUGCUGCCGCUCUCACCCGGCCCUGGGCUCCUCAGACGAAUUCAAGGUCAACGAACAAACAGUGUCAGAGUCUUGGGCAGACAUCUGUUCCUGCCUAAGGCUGGCAUCGCUGGAAGACGCAGUAAACAUGGCUGUAACUGCGCAGGGCUGUCUCUCCCCAACCUGUGUUCCUCCCCAAGGUGGCUCCGGGUCCUGGCAGGUCCUGCGUAUGAGGAUGAAGCUACAUGACCAGCAGUAAGUUCCAAGGUUUAAUUCCCCCUCCUCUGCAACCCCCUCCCUCGGACCUUCCCAACCCCCAACUACUGCUUUUCUGGGAUCCCAGGUGCCUGCCCACGUGGUCUUCCCUCUCCUGCUCUGUCCCCCAUGAAGCUGCUCCACGCACAGCACCCUUGGGAGAAUGCUCAGGGGCAGGGCACAAGGAGGGUCCCCAGUUGUCUGGUCCUGGAGUCUCCCUACACCCCCCAGCCCUUGGUGCUGGCCCCGAGGCCCUGGUCCUCCGCCUGUCACACCUGUGGUGAUUGCGCUGUCCCCUGGCCCCUUCCUGAGGGCAUCUGUGGCCCCAGGUCCCUGUGGUCAGGGCUGUUCCUCUCCCCCGGCCUGAGCCAGGUGCCCAGAGGAGGGUCUUUGGCCCAGGAAACCUCUUUGUGGCCGACCAGUGACCUAGGCCCCAGGGGAAGCCACAAGGGCCUGAGCUGGGCCAGAUCCCCAGAGUGGGGACAGUGUGAAGUGGAGAAGCCAGCAGAGGCUGUGGCCAGGGAGGGGCCCGGAGGGAGCUGCACGAGAGCUCCCACCGAGAGCCUGUCUGGCUGGGACUCUCCUUCCCCUCUGCACAGGGCUCAGAGCUGGUCCGAGGGCCAGGCGGCCCCUCCCCAUUCCCUCUCGUCACCAGGCAGCUCCCCCCGAGCCCCUGCUUGGGAGAUGCGGGUGUGGGUGGCAGUCAGUGGGCUGCUCCCUGAUGUGUGCUCAGCUGGCCACCUUCCAGGCACGCAGAAGGGGGAACCUCCUGGUUUCCUCACGGUUGGGUGGGGCCCAGUGACUGGCCCGGGCUUAAUUGUGAGCAGAAGGGCUGAGUGUAAGCUCCAGGCUGGGUGUUCACUCUCUGAUGUCAGACCCUUCAGAGCUCCUGCUUCCUCUUCCAGUGACCAGCCAAACCCCUUGAGGCAGCUUGACUUGCCCAGAAAUGAGGCGGUGCCCCCAGCUGGAGGGGCCCUGGUGAUGCAUCUAGCUCAACCCUCCCAUUUCACAGAGGGAGAAACUGAGGCUGGAGAGGGAAGGGCGGUGUCUCAGGCCACACAGCCACUUGGUGACACAGCUGGAACCCGAUCUCUGCGUGGUGCCUUAGCCUCUUUUGUGCUGAAUCAUGUUGCCUCCAGAAAGUGGAUUUGUGGAAGUGUUUCCAAAGCAGAACAGAAAAGUGAGUGGCCUGACUUUGGGGCGAGGGAGAGUUCAUAAAGUAAGGAGAAUGCUCACUGGACACUCAUGAUUAAAGUUAGCCUGAGGCCAGAAGGGUGUGUACAGCUGCUCACACAGGCUGAGGCUUCCUGGCAGGGGAGUGGCCAGGCGAGGCCCAGGGCAUCCUUGGGCAAAGGUUUGUACUUCCUGAAGCACACAGCCAGGCCGGAGGUCUGCUGGGAAGGGAGAAGGCAGAGAUCAGAUGCAGGAUGGGAUGAGGGCCAGCGAUGGGCUGCCCCGUUCGCAGCGUGGCUGGCUGGGCCCUUUCUGGAUAGACUCGUGGUGCUGCCCUAGGCAGUUGUACCAGCCUGUUUUGGAGGGUGCUUGCCCACGUUACGUGAUUUGUCCAGGCUCACGCAGCUUGUGGUGACAGAGCUGGGGUUUGACCCUGAGUCCCUGGAGCCGGCUCGUGUAGCUGCGGAAGAAAACCAGGCUUUGCACCUAGAUCUUGCCACAUUUGAGCUGUGUGUCUUUGGGAGAACCGCUUUGCCUCUCUGAGCCUCAGUUUCCUUGCCUGCCCAUCAGGUAGAGGUCCUAGGGCAGAUCUUGGGACAGAUGUCCUGGUGUUCCCACGAGUUUUGUAAACAAUGUGUGUGAAUGCCGAGCAGUGCCCAGCAAAUGGCCGGCCUGCCCUUGACUGUGAUUUCGGGGGUCCCAGGCUGGGUCUCUGGAGGUUUCUCAAGCACAGAACAAGUUUCUCUCCCCUGGUGACCCGUGGGGGUGAGUGCACUUUCCCUGGAAGAGAAGCCUGGUUUCCUGAGGUCUGUGGGUGGUUCUGAGAAAAGAUCAGCCCCUUCUGGGAAGGAAGGAGGAGAAAGGGUGGUGGCAGAGAGCAGCUGGGGCCUGAGCGGAGAGGUCAGGUGAGGGGAGCAGACUGUGCCAGGAAAAGCGUAUUGAUUUCCUCCUUUUAGAAAUGGAUUCAAGUGGAAUCAUUCAUAAUGUGCUCUCCCCACCACAGACAAUACCCAUUCCCAUCACUGUCAGGGAAAUGGAUUUGCAGCACUCUGGGAAAGAGAAAACAGAUUGCCUGAGAUGCGCAAAGACAGCUUGGUUCUGUCCCCACAUGCUUUCUGCAGAGCCUGGUGGUGGCUUGCUGGGGACGGAGGGCAGAGCAAUGCACCGUCAGGGCUGCUCUAGGGACAAGGUCUGCAUUGAGCAUUGCAGCCAUAACAAGUGGUCAACCCUUGGUGGGCAGGGUCUCCAAGGGGGUAUUGAUGGAGCCGGGGGUCGGGAGGCCACCUGGGGGAUGCAGGAUUUGCGCUGAGCCUCAGAAGCAGGAGUGGCCAUGAAGAGCAGUCUGGGUAGAUGGACGCCAUACCCAAGGGCUGGCCGAGGGGCUUCUUUUUUUUUUUUUAAUUAAUUAAUUGAUUGAUUGAUUUAUUCAUUUAUUUAUUUAUGGCUGUGUUGGGUCUCCGUUUCUGUGCGAGGGCUUUCUCCAGUUGUGGCGAGCCGGGGCCACUCUUCAUCGCGGUGCGCGCGCCUCUCACUAUCGCGGCCUCUCUGGUUGCAGAGCACAAGCUCCAGACGUGCAGGCUCAGUAAUUGUGGCUAACGGGGCUAGUUGCUCCGCGGCAUGUGGGAUCUUCCCAGAACAGGGCUCAAACCCGUGUCCCCUGCAUUGGCAGGCAGAGUCUCAACCACUGUGCCACCAGGGAAGCCCCCGAGGGGCUUCUUGCUGGGAACCAGCAGAAGCUUUGUGUGGCUGGGACCCAUGGGGUAAAGGUGGGAGGUGGUGGCUGGAGCGGAGGGCAGGGGUGGUGCUGGCCGUCUUGACACCUUUCCUUGCUGCCACCCUUGAGGGACUGCAGUCCAGGCGUGCAUCAGAACACCUCUGGAGACAAGAGUAGGUGUGAGUGCAGCCUCUGUCAGUCAACCAAAGGUGCCUGCCCUGGUCCUGGAAGAGGCUGACUGGGGUCACGGUUCUGCUUCCCUUAGGCUUGGCCUGAGGCUGCCUGGCAGCAGGGUGGCUUCAGCGGACACUGGGCUCAGCCAGCCGUGACCCACUCUGGACAGGGCCCCGGGGCCAGCCCCCUGCCCAGCCAGACUGCAGGGCGCGUCUUGUUGUUGGUCCGUUCAUUCAUUCAUCUGUUCAUCCUUUCCCCAGGAGGAAUAUCAACACCAACGCUAGGUAAGCUGGACUCAUGGCAUUAAGUGGGGCAGGGGGUGGGGGGCACAUGGACAGACACAGGCCUUGGAGCCAAGGAGACCUGUGAUCAAGUCGCACGCACGAGUGUGUGACCUCUAGAAAGCCAUCUAAGAUCUCUGAGUCUCAGUUUCCUCAACGGCAAAAUGGGGCUAACUCUCGUCAGGUGGUCGUGGGGCCCCAGGGAUACAGUAACUGUAAAGGAAGUGGCAGGUGCCAGGCCCCCACCUGGGCACUGGGAGCUCAACAAGGUGCCUUCAUGUACCAAGACACAGUGGGAAGUCGGUGCCCCAGGGCCUUGGCACAUGCCGUGUCCGUGCCUGGAGUGCUCUUCUUCCUGAUACCCUGUGGUCAGCUCCUGAACUUCCUUCAGGGGUUUGCUUGGCUGUCAUCUUCUCAGCGAGGCUCCCUGGUCACCCCCUCAACCCUGGGCACAGGCCAUCUCACGUGGAUUUGUGAGGUUCACGAAGGCGGGGCUUUGAUCUUUGUUCCCUGAGUCUCUUCUGUGCCUAGAACAGUGCCUGGCACAUGGCACCGGGUGAAGGGAUGUUGCUAAGAUACUGUGCAGUGCAAGGUCACCAGCGCAUUGCUCAUUGACCCCACGACCACGGAAACGGGGCCCAGGGUCACAGUGGAAGGGACUCUGCUGGCCUCCUGAUCCUCGGUGAGGUGCUGGGGAGAGCACGCUGGGCUUUGAAGCGGAAAGAGCUGGUUUGACCAUGUGUAUGUGUGUGUGUGUGUGUGUGUGUGUGUGUGUGUGUGUGUCUGUGUGUGGUGGGGAGGCCCUGUCCCAGCUGGCAAGGAGCUCCUGGUCUGAGGGGGACACAAGGCCUAAACUGAGAUCCAUCCAGGAUGACAUCAGAACCAGGCCCAGGCAGGGACCUCCCAGGGAAGGGAUGCCCCACGGGGACCUCAGAGGGGUGCUUGGUGGCUCCUGGGCAGGGCGCCUCACUGAGCCGCCUCUGUUUGUGUCAGGGAGACCUGGGCUCCUUAAUGAUGCUGCCCUUGGGCACCUGAGCUGUUCUCCCCUGGACCUCACGGGGCACACACAGGUGGAGGAGGGCUCUGUAAAACUUCUGAGAGAGGUGGGGUGCAGCAAGGGGCAAAAUCAGGACCCCUGCGCACACUCCACCCCUGACACAGAGCCCUUCCCUCCAAGAUGGGCAACAUGGCUAGGAACCCAAGCCUUUCUGGGAGAGCUGGGCCUGAAUCCUGCCCCUGCUGACAUGCUUGGUGACCGUGAGCUAAUGACUGAGCUCACUAAGCCUCAGUUUCUUUAUCUGUGAAAUGGGCAGAGUGACAGUGUCUGCUGCAAGGGGCUCUGGCGUGGUGCAUUCAUCCCAAGGGACAGGGAUUGUAGGGGGUGAGAGGCCUUGAGAAGAGACCACAGCCAAGACAGGAGGGCUGUGGCCCAGGGCACAUCCAACCACCUUCCCAGGUGAGCUAGUGAAGGAGCGGCCAGUGCCACGUGGGUCUGGCUCCAAGCUGGGACACCAGUUCCUCCCUUCGGGGGCCCAGGCCUCUGGCAGCAGACUUCCCUCAGGUUCCUGGUCCAGGCAGGGCAGGGACGAGUUGCUGGGGUCCCAUUUGAGGUUUACUCCCAUCCUGGGCAGGAAGGGUGCAUGGAGGAGUAGAGGCAGCUGGUCCCUGUCCACAGGAUGGAGGUGUCCCUGGGCCUGUGCUGAGUAAGGCCACUCAGGGUGGACAGGGUGGCUGCCUGGAAGAAGCAUCCUGGGCUGGGCUGGCUGGGAGGGUGAGGGCAGUGGGACGUAUGGGGGAGAGUUGGGAGAUGCAGCUAGUUUUGACGCUUCUACAUCGGGGACCCAGUUCACGUGGCCGCGGCUUGCUCCCGCUAGACAGGAAGUUAAAUAGCCAACCACACGUAGAGAAUUUUCCCGACCCGGUUCUGAAGCCGAGAGUUCGCCUGGUGCAAAGGGGUGGGUGAUUCCCCUUUUCUCAGGGGUCACCGCUGAGGGCAGUUUGUGCCUCGUUCCUGUCUCUUCGAAUCAUUACAACAAAACCUGGGUCACCCCAGUGCCACCCCAUCUUACAGAAGAGGCAGGUGGAGGAAAAGUCAGGGGAGUUGCUGGUGAGAGACAGAUGAGGGUCUUGCCCAGGACCGCUGUGCCCUAGGGCCACCCACCUCAGUUCUGGGCGCCAGCAGCGCUGUUGCUUUCAGGAAGCUUGUACUUGGGUCUCUGCCCCACCCCUGCUUCCAACUUAGGUCCCUACCUGGGUCCCCAAUCUCUCUGCCUUGUCGAAAGAGAUGAGUGCCGCAGGGAAGCAGCCCCAGGCUUGGGGGAGCCAUUUCUAAUGGGAAAACAUGCACAUUUGCCUAAAUGAAUCAAAUCCAUUUCUUUCCCAUACAUAUUUCAUGGGCUUCCUCUCUGUGUAAUUUAAUUAUCACAGUUGUUAGUGUUAAUGUCCUGGUUGGUGCAGCUCUGCUCCCCAGACCCUCGGAGCCUAAUUGGGCACAGGGCUCUGAGGAGGAACCGGGAGGGUGGACCCAUCUCUAUGGCAACAGGAUGUGAUAAUAUUUCCGGGUGAUCUAUUGCUUUAAUCUUGAGGGCUCUGAGUAUAUUGCCAGCAUUAAUAAAUAAAUCUAAAUAACACCCUGGCGAGAUUGAUAUUAUUCUAUCCAUUUUACUGUUGGAUGAACAGCAGCUCUGGGGGGUUAAAUGCCUGGCCUGGGGGAGAGGUGAGAAAGAUAGGGAUUGUGGAAAUGCCUGCUGGGUGCUGCCCUGGCUCCUGGGAGGCCCUGACAUCCCGGCUGGAGGGGCUGGGUCAGGGGCCACAGAAGCCUCGGAGACCCAGUGGAAUGGUGAUGGCCAAGCGUGUUCUGGAUGUACAAUCCAUUCCUCUUUGCAACCGGGUGGGAGCAGGGCAGCAGGAAGGACCCUCGGGCCCUCAACGUCGCUCCUCUGUUUUCUAAGUCCAGACAGUCCACCCAGAGAGCAUCCAUCCUUUGGCCUUUGUACGUUCAACAGUACAUUUCUUGGAAGAAAUAACCUUUAAUCCAAUACCAGUCUAGGUACCCCGUAGUGAGAGCUACCAGGAUGAUUUCUCCGAUUCAGGGCUGAACGCACACACCUUAUUCAGAGGAGACCUCCCCUCCCCUUGGCUGUCCUGGGGCUUCCUUCAACUCGAGGAGCUGGGCCUUUCCCUAAGGGCACCACGUGCUUCCUGGCCUGGCCGCAGAGGCCAGAGUUACCCUGCGCUCACACUCGCGCCUGCCCUGGGGGGCUGGGUCCCGGCACUGCUCGGUUGUGAGUCCUCUCCUCUCCGUGCGGUGAGGCCCUCACCUCCGUCUGCACGUGGGCCAGAGUAGCUGCUCCGCCUCCAGCCUCACCCCCCCCCCCCCCCCGCUUGCCAGCACAGCCCCCGCACAGGUCCCGGGUCGAGUUUGUUAAGCAGCUUCCUUCCUCCUUCUAGGUGAGGACCCUUUUGAGGGUCCUUCUGCGAACCUUAGUCAGGCCCACCCAGUCCACCAGAGGGGGCCUAAUAACGUGGGGCCAAAAGACAAGGGGUCUGCAGGCCUGUCCCUUUCAUGAAGGUGCCUCCUUUGCUCCUGGUCAGAUUGACUGGUCCCCUGUCUCUGGGACCAGCUAUGUCCACGCAGGAGACUUAAGUGCGGCAUUAGGUCCAAGUGUGCCUCAUUUGGCCGUGAGGUCAGAUCAUCUCAGACUGAGGUCAUUUUAGACUGUUUCAGGUCUUUCUGCGAAAGAAGGUCAGUUCCAGGAUGCUGUGCCGACGGCUUCUCUGGCUGAAACAGGAGUGUGGCCUCCUUGGGCUCCUGGUCCCGCCUGUGCACUUUCUCCCUCCCGCACUCUCUGUGAACCCCUGGUCUCCCCUGUCAGCGUGGGAGCUGAGCGCCGUGCCUGUGGAGCGGUUGCGUUUCGGGGGCGUCUCUCCAGCCCACACCACCUUGCUCCGCACCCGCCUCCCUGGCCACGGCUGAUGGGAGCAGGUGUGAGCACCUGCCUCAAGCUGAUCCAAUCACAUUCUCCCUCCCAGUCACUGGGGAUUGGGCCUCAGACAACUGAGAUUGUACCUGAACCGCGAAUGAAGGAGGCAGCUGGCC